UCACUUGGCAUAGCUCUGUCAGAAAAGCAUGAGACUCUUAGGACUUAGCUGCACUCAUCAAUUACAUCGUUAUAACUGAGCUAUGUGACAACAGAUGGUGCUGCAGGGCAGUGAUCCAUUGCCAAUGUGAUUUUGCCUUGAGAGCUUUUACAGUGUUUUGGGUUUUUGGCUUUUUAAAAAUCAGUGUAGAUCCAACUUUACUCUCAGGGUUGUGGGUUUGAGCCCCAUGCUGAGUGAA
Molecule: non-coding RNA, 238 nt
Organism: Podarcis lilfordi (Lilford's wall lizard)
Lineage: Eukaryota; Metazoa; Chordata; Lepidosauria; Squamata; Lacertidae
Source: the annotation of a GenBank genome assembly